UACGUAGGUGACAAGCGUUGUCCGGAUUUACUGGGCGUAAAGAGCGCGCAGGCGGUCGAUCAAGUCGAGUGUGAAAGCCCCCGGCUCAACUGGGGAGGGUCAUUCGAUACUGAUCGACUCGAAGGCAGGAGAGGGUAGUGGAAUUCCCGGUGUAGUGGUGAAAUGCGUAGAUAUCUGGAGGAACACCGGUGGCGAAGGCGGCAUCCUGGACCGACACUGACGCUGAGGAGCGAAAGCCAGGGGAGCAAACGGG
RNAcentral lists this ribosomal RNA (253 nucleotides) under uncultured bacterium. RNAcentral describes it as "partial 16S ribosomal RNA". It matches the Rfam family "Bacterial small subunit ribosomal RNA", at positions 524 to 776 of the family's 1533-position model. The record is from RNAcentral.